GGUUGAUCCUGCCAGUAGUCAUAUGCUUGUCUCAAAGAUUAAGCCAUGCAUGUCUAAGUAUAAACAUCUUUAUACCGUGAAACUGCGUACAGCUCAUUAUAUCAGUUAUUAUUUCUUUGAUGGUACCUUACUACAUGGAUACCCGUAGUAAUUCUAGAGCUAAUACAUGCGUCAAGUCCCGACUUUAUGGAAGGGAUGUAUUUAUUAGAUACAAAACCCAAUGCGGGGGUAAAACUUCGCUUUGUUGUUGAAUCAUAGUAACUUGUGCACGGAUCGCACGGCUUAACGCUGG
This 292-nucleotide ribosomal RNA is filed under the name uncultured eukaryote. RNAcentral describes it as "partial 18S ribosomal RNA". It matches the Rfam family "Eukaryotic small subunit ribosomal RNA", at positions 6 to 287 of the family's 1831-position model. The record is from RNAcentral.